This is a long non-coding RNA of Octopus bimaculoides (California two-spot octopus), 1274 nucleotides long. RefSeq lists it as uncharacterized. The record is from RefSeq and is a predicted model, not a curated record. Lineage: Eukaryota; Metazoa; Mollusca; Cephalopoda; Octopoda; Octopodidae.
UAAUAUAUUUUAUUAUAAAUAGUGAGAAAGUAAAGAAUGUGACGUUAAGUAAUAAAGAUGAUGAAAACGAAAUAUUGCUUCCUCAAGUUAUAAUCAUUCGUAUGUCAAGAAAAUAUAGUUAUAAACAUGGGGAAUAUAAAUGUUGUCAAAGAAAUCACGUUUCUCUACCCGCAACUAUUUUGCCUACCCUAACUAACAAAGAACGAAGGAUUAAAGUUUUAGGAGAAAAGAGGUUGUUAAACCCAAUGAUUUGAUACUGUAUUUUUAUCGACACCGGAAACAUGAAUAGCGAGGUUGACCUUGAUGAGAUUUGAACUCGGAUCGUAAAGAGGCAUUUAAGUAAGAAGUGUAACGUGUUUAAUCGACCGCCCCCCCCACCCUGAUUCUAACACUUGGCACGCCACUUCCUUAUGCAUUUAUAGUUUUCCUUUCUAAUAUAAACACAAAGCCACAUAUUUAGAUGAAGGCUGGGACGUACUUUAAUUUAAUGACUUUCAAAUCACGGUUAAACAAUUGGAUACCUUAUUUCAAAACCGAAAAGUUAAAAGAUGAAGUUUUCAUUGACGAAGAUUUGAACAUUGAACAAAAAUACGGGUUUCAAAUUUUGGUACAAGUUCAGUGGGAGGAGUAAAUUGAUUAGAUCGACUCUAGUCUUCAAAUGGUAUUUGUUUCAUCAACCCCCGGAAGAAUUACAGGUAAAGACGACCUCAGCAAAAUUUGAACUCGGAACGUAAAGACGGACAAAAUACUACAACUCAUUUUACCCCCGGGGUGCUAACGAUUCUGCCUGCUCAUCUGCUUAAUGAACUGGAUGCAAAUUUUGACAAAAGGCCAGCUAUUUCGGUGGGAGGGUGAAAGUUGAUUACAUCGACUGGUACGCAACUGGUACUUAAUUUAUCGACCCGGAAAGAACGAAAGGCAUAGUCGACCUCGGCGGAAUUUGAAAACACAUUUGACUGCGGCCAUGCUGGAGCACCGUCUUUAGUCGAGCAAAUCCGUCUACCAAAUCCACUCACAAGGCUUUGGUCGGCCCCUAGGCUAUAUUAGAAGACACUUGCCCAAGGUACCACGCAGUGGGACUGAACCCGGAACCACGUGGUUCGUAAGCAAGCUAUUUACCACACAGCCACUCCUACGCAUUUUACUGUUCCUAAGUGGAACAGUAAAAAUUAUGCAAAACUUUUCUCAAGUUCUCCAUGUAAUAUACACACAUACGUGUACAUACAUAUAUACAUGUAUACAUGCAUACAUACAUACAAACAUACAUACAUCUU